GACCUCUGGUAUUCCUUCAGAAGUACUGGUAUCGAAAGUUUAUAGAAGUUUCCCAGGACUGCUGUAACAAGUUACCAGAAACUGGGUGGCUUAAAAUAAGAAAAAUUACUCUCUCACAGUUACAGGGGACAGAAGUCUGAAAUCAAGGUGUCAGCAGGAUUCCCCCUUCAAAGGAUACCUCUGAUUGAAUUUAAGGCCCAUCAGGAUAAUCUUCUUUUCUCAAGAUUUUGCCAUAUAAGGUAAGAUUCACUCUUUUGCAAUAAGGUAGUAUUCACAGUUUUUGAGGAUAAGGACCUGGACAUAUCUUUUGGGAGGCCACAAUUCAACCCACUACACCCACUAACACCCAUCAGACAUGUAGUAGCAAAACUGAUUAAUUUACUCUUCCUUUCUAUCAUUAUUAGAGGUG
Long non-coding RNA from Lutra lutra (Eurasian river otter), 409 nucleotides. RefSeq lists it as uncharacterized. The transcript is spliced from 3 exons. The record is from RefSeq and is a predicted model, not a curated record. Lineage: Eukaryota; Metazoa; Chordata; Mammalia; Carnivora; Mustelidae.